Molecule: long non-coding RNA, 685 nt
Filed under: Equus caballus (horse)
Lineage: Eukaryota; Metazoa; Chordata; Mammalia; Perissodactyla; Equidae
Description: lncRNA (ENSECAG00000057639.1)
Source: RNAcentral
GGGGGCUGAAGCGCGAGGAGGCCAGAGGUCAGCCCUCCGAUGGCCACUUAAAGUCAAACGCAGAGAUGGUGACACUUCAGCGUACGUCCCCCAGGAACUAAGACAUUCUCCUGCGUCGCUGCUGUCUUAGUUUGUGCUGCUGUAACAGAAAACCCUAGACUCAGCGGUUUAGAACCAACGGAAAUUUAUUUCUCAGAGUUCUGGAGGCCGGAAGCCCGAGGUCAGAGUGCCAGCAGGUCAGGGGCUGGAGUCAGCCAGUCCCCUCGUCUGUGUGAUGUACGUACGGCCAGCUUAUUUACUCGGGAGGACAGAGGGAAAAAAAUAACAGGAAACCAACCCACAUCAAACAAUGAAGAUGAAUAUCAAUAUUUGUUCCUUUCCGGAUAAGAGGAGUUAUGCACAGUAUUACGUCAUCAUAGCAGCACUUGAAAGAAUCGAAGUUGCUUUGAGCUUGAAGAAUUUCCAGUACAGCAAUUUGGCUGUUGUCAUCUAAAUGAAGUAAAGUUAAAAUAUAGCCUUUUAACAGAAGUAAGUAGAUAUUAUUCGAAGUAUCCAUGGUCGCCAUCUGGAAGCUGUGCUUGUUAUCAAACUUGAGAUCCAGGAACCUGGUCCGAUGCUGCCAGCAGAUGUUGCCAAAUUGCCGUCUAUACAGGAUGAACCACCUUACACUCCUACUGGUAAAAAU